GUAACACGUAUGCAACCUGCCCCAAACAGGGGGAUAGCCUCUCGAAAGAGAGAUUAAUACCCCAUAAUAAUGUUGUUAGGCAUCUAAUGAUAUUUAAAGCUGAGGCGGUUUGGGAUGGGCAUGCGGUUGAUUAGGUAGUUGGUGAGGUAAUGGCUCACCAAGCCAACGAUCAAUAGGGGGUCUGAGAGGAUGUCCCCCCACACUGGUACUGAGACACGGACCAGACUCCUACGGGAGGCAGCAGUAGGGAAUAUUGGACAAUGGGGGCAACCCUGAUCCAGCCAUGCCGCGUGCAGGAAGACUGCCCUAUGGGUUGUAAACUGCUUUUGUACGGGAAGAAACCUCACUACGAGUAGUGAGUUGACGGUACCGUGAGAAUAAGGAUCGGCUAACUUCGUGCCAGCAGCCGCGGUAAUACGAAGGAUCCAAGCGUUGUCCGGAUUUACUGGGUUUAAAGGGUGCGUAGGCGGGCUAUUAAGUCAGUGGUGAAAGCCGAUCGCUUAACGAUCGAACUGCCAUUGAAACUGAUAGUCUUGAGUAUGUUUGAGGUUACUGGAAUAUAACAUGUAGCGGUGAAAUGCUUAGAUAUGUUAUAGAACACCAAUUGCGGAGGCAGGUAACUAAGUCAUAACUGACGCUGAGGCA
RNAcentral lists this ribosomal RNA (645 nucleotides) under uncultured bacterium. Its description in RNAcentral is "bacterial SSU rRNA". It matches the Rfam family "Bacterial small subunit ribosomal RNA", at positions 110 to 753 of the family's 1533-position model. The record is from RNAcentral.